This 357-nucleotide ribosomal RNA is filed under the name Triticum aestivum (bread wheat). RNAcentral's name for it is "partial small subunit ribosomal RNA". The record is from RNAcentral. Lineage: Eukaryota; Viridiplantae; Streptophyta; Magnoliopsida; Poales; Poaceae.
AUGAUGGUCUCCAUUGUAUCAACAACUCUGGCUCCAUACGUUCUUUUCGCCUUGCAAAAUUCUCUCCAUAAAUCCAUUUCGGUCAUUGUGUGGUAUCUUCAUCCUAUAUGUGUUCUUAUGCUCAUUCUGGCUGUUUAUAGUUACUUUGCAUUUACAUUUCGGUCAUUGCUCAUGAAGACUUGGUGGUGUACUUGGUUUUUUCUGCUGCGGCGGCCAAAAGAUCACAACAGCAUAAUGGUGGAAGAAAUGAGAUCCAGUGACUUUGUACUGAAAUUAAGGAACUUUACAAGAAAAGAAUGCACCUCAAUCAUAUUAGUGCUUGUUUGCAGCCAAUUCCCUCCUGUUGUUAUUAACUGA